RNAcentral lists this ribosomal RNA (497 nucleotides) under uncultured bacterium. Its description in RNAcentral is "partial 16S ribosomal RNA". It matches the Rfam family "Bacterial small subunit ribosomal RNA", at positions 28 to 507 of the family's 1533-position model. The record is from RNAcentral.
GAUGAACGCUGGCGGCGUGCCUAAUACAUGCAAGUCGAGCGAACAGACGAGGAGCUUGCUCCUCUGACGUUAGCGGCGGACGGGUGAGUAACACGUGGAUAACCUACCUAUAAGACUGGGAUAACUUCGGGAAACCGGAGCUAAUACCGGAUAAUAUAUUGAACCGCAUGGUUCAAUAGUUAAAUACGGUUUUGCUGUCACUUAUAGAUGGAUCCGCGCCGCAUUAGCUAGUUGGUAAGGUAACGGCUUACCAAGGCAACGAUGCGUAGCCGACCUGAGAGGGAGAUCGGGCACACUGGAACUGAGAAACGGUCAAGACUCCUACGGGAGGCAGCAGUAGGGAAUAUUCCGCAAUGGGCGAGAGACUGACGGAGCAACGCCGCGUGAGUGAUGAAGGUCUUCGGCUCGUAAAACUCUGUUAUUAGGGAAGAACAAAUGUGUAAGUAACUAUGCACGUCUUGACGGUACCUAAUCAGAAAGCCACGGCUAACUACGUG